UAAGAUAGAAAAUGAUCACUUGAACCUGAAAACCCCCAUCCAGUUUACAUUAUACUGCCCAAAUGCAGUGAUCAUCUGUGUUAAUUUAAAAACACACCCCCUGCUUACUUUGCACAGCCAUCAGAGAGCUCCCCCCACCCCAGCUCACCAUUUACACACUAUUUUUCUUUGUAUAUGAUUAACAUUUAUACCAGGUUGUGAUCUUACUCAGUAUUUACCUGGUUCUGAUUUCUCUAAGUCCUAGAUACAGACCUCUGGAAAUAAUGAGCUCUAAGGGAAACGCUGCCCAGAUCUCCAGCCUCGGAGACACCAGGAACCGGGCCUUCCACAGCUGGCUCUUAGUAUGGGGCUGACCUGCUACAUCAGUCCUUCUGGAGGCAGGACCACAAUCACCCUGUCCACAGGAAAGCAGGAAAGGGCAGCCUGUUUGGAGCCAAACCAAAGCCCGCGGGGCCAGCUGCUGGAAGGUGAGGUGGCCGUUCUUCGGUAGCAGUCUUCCAAGCCCUCUACAGAUUUGAAACAUUUCAAAAGCAAAAGUUUGAGCACCAACAGCUACGCACCCAGUGCGUGUCUGGGAAUUUUCUGGUAUCGUAAGACUCCCCUGUGGGCUGCCCCUGCUCACAAGUUGUGAGAAAUCCAGUGGUUGAGGGGUAGUAAACCGACAGGUCUUCUGGCCAGUUUUCUUCUCCGCAAGGAGUAGUUAUGACUCCUUUUGGGCUGUUUGUGUCACUUCAAAGGCCCUUUAGGCCAAGGCGUGUGUCAGUCCCUCUUUGGCACCACGAGCCACUUCGAUAGUUUCUGUUCAUGGCUAUUCUACAUCUGUUGGGAAGAGUCAGUUUUUGCCCAUUUUUUACUGCGUUCUUCAGCUUACUGAAUGCAAGAGCUCUGGGUACAAAUGUUUGGGUCAUCAGAUGAUAUGUGUAUGUUCUAAAUACAAAUCUUCUGUUACAGAAUUUUAAAAAGCUAUACACUGUUGGUAUCUCCAGAACUUAGCCCCAGGGUCCUAUCCUCUCAAUAUUCAACUUCUCAAAUGGGUGGUCAAUUUCAAAGGAUGCUAAAUUUCAGCAAAACAAUGGCAUGUUUCUAAGGACCCAAGACCCCUCUCUCCUGCUCACUUCCUUUCUGCGUAAAAGUUCUUGCCACUGAGUUUCAGAGGUGUUCUCCCCAAACCUGAAUCAGUAAACUAACUGGAUAUUUCACAAAGAAUGUUUCACAAACUCAGAGUCUGUAGUCUAGAAGAGAGAGAUUCAGGUAUUAACCAAGUAAUCACAUAGAUGGAAACUUUCAGUAGUGACAAGUACCGUGUAACUCAGUAGUAGAGGGAUUUGACCCAGUGAGGGAGGGAAGUGAAAGCAGCUUCUGGAGGAAGAUAAGGGGACUCAGCCAAGAAGAAGGCACAGCAGGAGCAAGAUAAUGUGGGUCUAAAAGAAGACCUGUGAAUAUGGAACCCAGAAAGGAGGAUAGUUCAAGAGAAACUUAAAGACAUGAGUAGGAAUCUUGUCCUCUCUCAUCUUAGGAGCAGUGGGAAGCUGCUCAAACGUC
This 1542-nucleotide long non-coding RNA is filed under the name Suricata suricatta (meerkat). RNAcentral's name for it is "lncRNA (ENSSSUG00005000942.1)". The record is from RNAcentral. Lineage: Eukaryota; Metazoa; Chordata; Mammalia; Carnivora; Herpestidae.